ACGGAGGGGGCAAGCGUUGUUCGGAUUUACUGGGCGUAAAGGGUGUGUAGGCGGCCAUGCAAGUCUGGUGUGAAAUCUUCACCGCUCACCGGGAAGGAGUCACUGGAUACUGCAUGGCUCGAGUAUGGUAGAGGCGAGCGGAAUUCCAGGUGUAGCGGUGGAAUGUGUAGAUAUCUGGAAGAACACCGGUGGCGAAGGCGGCUCGCUGGGCCAUCACUGACGCUGAGACACGAAAGCGUGGGGAGCAAACGG
This 252-nucleotide ribosomal RNA is filed under the name uncultured prokaryote. Its description in RNAcentral is "partial 16S rRNA". It matches the Rfam family "Bacterial small subunit ribosomal RNA", at positions 525 to 775 of the family's 1533-position model. The record is from RNAcentral.